Molecule: long non-coding RNA, 809 nt
Filed under: Glycine max (soybean)
Lineage: Eukaryota; Viridiplantae; Streptophyta; Magnoliopsida; Fabales; Fabaceae
Description: long non-coding RNA (GMAX_LNC000415)
Source: RNAcentral
AAUAACAGUUUCCUCUAGAUAGAUAACAGUUAAAAAAGUCACAUUACUCAUGCAAUCAUGUCGUCUCUCUCGCCUCAUCUAUCUCAGCCUCAAAUCCUCAGAUCAUCUUCUUCUCCCACAUCCAUAUUACCUUUUUUCAAAUCGAUCGCACGAGUUUUGAUAGCGCAUGUUUCAAUUCAAAUUUGCUAUGUUUGGGUUGAAUCACAGCGCUGUCUUACUCAAGUUGAAGGAUUGAUUUUAUGUUUGGGUCGAGUCACAGGGCUAUGUUUGGGAGGACGUUAUGUUUGGGUGAGUACGUGACGAUGUAGAAGGUUUUCCAAGCAGCAUCGAAAGGGCUAAUUGAUUUGGCCACCAUAGGACAGAUGGACACACGUUAAAGAGUAAGACAAAAGCAAUGUUAAUAGAAUAGAUGAAGGUCACGAAGCACGUGAAAUUCUGAAAUGAAUCAGUCUUCAUCUAUUUCUUCUCCUCCUUUGGUUCUGUUUUUCUUAAAUGGAUCAGCCUUUAAUCUUUCUUCUUGGUAUUUUUUCAGUGACUUUUUUUCUUCUCUAUCUCUUCACUAAAAAUCUGAUCUCACCGAAAAUUGUGGUGAGAGAUAACAGCAAAUUGUUUUUGUGUUUCUUGAAUAUGCAUGUUUGAUCGCAUAUCUAGUACUAUACAUAUUUAAAGAUGGGAAAUGAGUGAAUUUGUGUUGUAACAUUUGUUUAUUACUAAUCAUUGUUAGAUUACCAUUGGUAAUGCCACCUAUCUUUUGUUGUCCUUUUUUGUUGAACUGGAGGAAGUUGUGGAAGCAGAUCUAGAGAUGGAAG